RNAcentral lists this ribosomal RNA (253 nucleotides) under uncultured bacterium. RNAcentral describes it as "partial 16S ribosomal RNA". It matches the Rfam family "Bacterial small subunit ribosomal RNA", at positions 524 to 776 of the family's 1533-position model. The record is from RNAcentral.
GACGAACCGUACGAACGUUAUUCGGAAUCACUGGGCUUAAAGGGUGCGUAGGCUGCGCAGCAAGUUGGGUGUGAAAUCCCUCGGCUUAACCGAGGAACUGCGCCCAAAACUGCUGUGCUCGAGGGAGAUAGAGGUGAGCGGAACUUAGGGUGGAGCGGUGAAAUGCGUUGAUAUCCUAAGGAACACCGGUGGCGAAAGCGGCUCACUGGAUCUCUUCUGGCGCUGAGGCACGAAAGCUAGGGUAGCGAACGGG